UGGGGAAUAUUGGACAAUGGGCGCAAGCCUGAUCCAGCCAUGCCGCGUGAGUGAUGAAGGCCCUAGGGUUGUAAAGCUCUUUCACCGGUGAAGAUAAUGACGGUAACCGGAGAAGAAGCCCCGGCUAACUUCGUGCCAGCAGCCGCGGUAAUACGAAGGGGGCUAGCGUUGUUCGGAUUUACUGGGCGUAAAGCGCACGUAGGCGGACUUUUAAGUCAGGGGUGAAAUCCCGGGGCUCAACCCCGGUGCUGCCUUUGAUACUGGAAGUCUUGAGUAUGGUAGAGGUGAGUGGAAUUCCGAGUGUAGAGGUGAAAUUCGUAGAUAUUCGGGGGAACACCAGUGGCGAAGGCGGCUCACUGGACCAAUACUGACGCUGAGGUGCGAAAGCGGGGGGAGCAAACAGG
This 404-nucleotide ribosomal RNA is filed under the name Actinomycetes bacterium. RNAcentral's name for it is "Actinobacteria bacterium partial 16S ribosomal RNA". It matches the Rfam family "Bacterial small subunit ribosomal RNA", at positions 355 to 776 of the family's 1533-position model. The record is from RNAcentral. Lineage: Bacteria; Bacillati; Actinomycetota; Actinomycetes.